UUGAACGCUGGCGGCAUGCCUUACACAUGCAAGUCGAACGGUAGAGGGGCAACCCUUGAGAGUGGCGAACGGGUGAGUAAUGCAUCGGAACGUGCCCAGUCGUGGGGGAUAACGCAGCGAAAGCUGUGCUAAUACCGCAUGUGAUCUGUGGAUGAAAGCAGGGGACCGCAAGGCCUUGUGCGAUUGGAGCGGCCGAUGUCAGAUUAGCUAGUUGGUAGGGUAAAAGCCCACCAAGCCGACGAUCUGUAGCUG
This 252-nucleotide ribosomal RNA is filed under the name uncultured bacterium. Its description in RNAcentral is "partial 16S ribosomal RNA". It matches the Rfam family "Bacterial small subunit ribosomal RNA", at positions 30 to 289 of the family's 1533-position model. The record is from RNAcentral.